This 654-nucleotide ribosomal RNA is filed under the name Sarcocystis hjorti. Its description in RNAcentral is "SSU rRNA". It matches the Rfam family "Eukaryotic small subunit ribosomal RNA", at positions 455 to 1077 of the family's 1831-position model. Lineage: Eukaryota; Apicomplexa; Conoidasida; Eucoccidiorida; Sarcocystidae. The record is from RNAcentral.
CUCAGGGAGGUAGUGACAAGAAAUAACAACACUGGAAAUUUUAUUUCUAGUGAUUGGAAUGAUGGGAAUUUAAACCCCUUUCAGAGUAACAAUUGGAGGGCAAGUCUGGUGCCAGCAGCCGCGGUAAUUCCAGCUCCAAUAGCGUAUAUUAAAGUUGUUGCAGUUAAAAAGCUCGUAGUUGGAUGUCUGCUGGAAGCAAUCAGUCCGCCCUAUUUGUAGGGUGUGCACUUGAUGAAUUCUGGCAUCUAUGUCCUAAUGUGAUAGAUACGGCGGUGUAUAUGGGUUAAUCCUAUAUACCCGUUUUUGUAUAUUAUAUUGGGAUAAUACCGUUACUUUGAGAAAAUUAGAGUGUUCGAAGCAGGCUAAUUGCCUUGAAUACUGCAGCAUGGAAUAACAAUAUAGGAUUUCGGUUCUAUUUUGUUGGUUUCUAGGACUGAAAUAAUGAUUAAUAGGGACAGUUGGGGGCAUUCGUAUUUAACUGUCAGAGGUGAAAUUCUUAGAUUUGUUAAAGACGAACUACUGCGAAAGCAUUUACCAAAGAUGUUUUCAUUAAUCAAGAACGAAAGUUAGGGGCUCGAAGACGAUCAGAUACCGUCGUAGUCUUAACCAUAAACUAUGCCGACUAGAGAUAGGAAAAUGUCAUUUUUCUGACUU